RNAcentral lists this long non-coding RNA (626 nucleotides) under Androctonus crassicauda. Lineage: Eukaryota; Metazoa; Arthropoda; Arachnida; Scorpiones; Buthidae. The record is from RNAcentral.
AAUUAAAAUGAAAUACCUUAUACAUAUGUUAUAAUAAUAGUACAAUUUAAUCUUAAAAUUGAUAAAUAAGUAUAAAAUAUGAUUAAAAAAUAAUAUUGAUCUAUCAAAAAUAAUUUUGCUAUAUUCAAGAAUAUAUCACCAUGUUUCAGACUGCAUUUGUUGUAUCUUGUUCAUAGCAUAAAACCAAGCACUGGAUGGGUUAACUAGAAAAUUGUCAUUAACUAGCUGUUUGUUUUUAGAUCUUUUUAUAAUUUCCAGUGUUUGAGCAAUGGGUAGUUCAUAUGGGCCACUGAUUUUACUAAUGACUUGGCCUCUUCUCAUUGGAUGUUGAGAUCCUCUUCAUAUGCCUUCCGUGCCAGAAUGGUCAUUAGAACACCUGUUUGGAUGCCAUGUUGGUGCUCUUUCAUCCUUAUGACUAGGUUUCUUUUCAUAGCAUCAGUGUAUGAUUCUUGCCUAGCUAGAGUUUUAUUUUGGAUAGGGAUUCUGUAUAUCCCAUUCUUCUGGUUUUCCUUACAUGCAUCUUUCUCAUUCCUCAAUAAUUGGAAUAUCAUGGAAUUUCUUCUCAAAACUGCUGAAAAUGCUUAUGUUGUAACCAAAAAUACUACAUUUAAGUAAACUUUACUGGC